Molecule: ribosomal RNA, 492 nt
Filed under: uncultured bacterium
Lineage: Bacteria
Description: partial 16S ribosomal RNA
Rfam family: Bacterial small subunit ribosomal RNA
Source: RNAcentral
AGUGAACGCUGGCGGUAGGCCUAACACAUGCAAGUCGAACGGCAGCACAGUAAGAGCUUGCUCUUACGGGUGGCGAGUGGCGGACGGGUGAGGAAUACAUCGGAAUCUACUUUUUCGUGGGGGAUAACGUAGGUAAACUUACGCUAAUACCGCAUACGACCUACGGGUGAAAGCAGGUGAUCUUCGGACCUUGCGCGAUUGAAUGAGCCGAUGUCGGAUUAGCUAGUUGGCGGGGUAAAGGCCCACCAAGGCGACGAUCCGUAGCUGGUCUGAGAGGAUGGUCAGCCACACUGGAACAGAGACACGGUCCAGACUCCUACGGGGGGCAGCAGUGGGGAAUAUUGGGCGAUGGGGGCAAGCCUGAUCCAGCCAUAGCGCGUGGGUGAAGAAGGCCUUCGGGUUGUAGAGCCCUUUUGUUGGGAAAGAAGAGAAGCAGGUUAAUACCCCGCUGUUCUGACGGUACCCAAAGAAUAAGCACCGGCUAACUUCGUG